Molecule: ribosomal RNA, 1432 nt
Filed under: metagenome
Description: bacterial LSU rRNA
Rfam family: Bacterial large subunit ribosomal RNA
Source: RNAcentral
UAUCCCGGUUCAAGCCUGUAGUCGUGGUCCUUAGGCAAAUCCGGGGACCUUAGAUGAGGGGUGAUAACGAGGAAGCUUGCUUCCGAAGUGAGUGAUACCCUGCUUCCAAGAAAAGCCACUAAGCUUCAGCUACACACGACCGUACCGCAAACCGACACUGGUGCGCGAGAUGAGUAUUCUAAGGCGCUUGAGAGAACUCUGGAGAAGGAACUCGGCAAAUUGACACCGUAACUUCGGAAGAAGGUGUGCCCCUAGUAGGUGAAGUCGUACAGACGGAGCCCAAUGGGGUCGCAGAGAAUAGGUGGCUGCGACUGUUUAUUAAAAACACAGCACUCUGCAAAGACGAAAGUCGACGUAUAGGGUGUGACGCCUGCCCGGUGCUGGAAGAUUAAAUGAUGGGGUGCAAGCUCUUGAUUGAAGUCCCAGUAAACGGCGGCCGUAACAAUAACGGUCCUAAGGUAGCGAAAUUCCUUGUCGGGUAAGUUCCGACCUGCACGAAUGGCGUAACGAUGGCCUCGCUGUCUCCUCCAGAGACUCAGCGAAGUUGAAAUGUUUGUGAUGAUGCAAUCUCCCCGCGGAAAGACGGAAAGACCCCAUGAACCUUUACUGUAGCUUUACAUUGGACUUUGAACAGAUCUGUGUAGGAUAGGUGGGAGGCUUUGAAGCCUGGUCGCUAGAUCAGGUGGAGCCAACGUUGAAAUACCACCCUGGUGUGUUUGAGGUUCUAACCUUGGCCCGUGAUCCGGGUUGGGGACAGUGUAUGGUGGGCAGUUUGACUGGGGCGGUCUCCUCCCAAAGCGUAACGGAGGAGUUCGAAGGUACGCUAGGCACGGUCGGAAAUCGUGCUGAUAGUGCAUUGGCAUAAGCGUGCUUGACUGCGAGACUGACAAGUCGAGCAGGUACGAAAGUAGGACAAAGUGAUCCGGUGGUUCUGUAUGGAAGGGCCAUCGCUCAACGGAUAAAAGGUACUCUGGGGAUAACAGGCUGAUACCGCCCAAGAGUUCAUAUCGACGGCGGUGUUUGGCACCUCGAUGUCGGCUCAUCUCAUCCUGGGGCUGUAGCCGGUCCCAAGGGUAUGGCUGUUCGCCAUUUAAAGAGGUACGUGAGCUGGGUUUAAAACGUCGUGAGACAGUUUGGUCCCUAUCUUCCGUGGGCGCUGCAAGAUUGAGAGAGCCUGCUCCUAGUACGAGAGGACCGGAGUGGACGCACCUCUGGUGUAUCGGUUGUCACGCCAGUGGCAUCGCCGAGUAGCUAAGUGCGGAAGAGAUAACCGCUGAAAGCAUCUAAGCGGGAAACUCGUCUCAAGAUGAGUCUUGCCGGGGCCUCGAGCCCCCUGAAGAGUCGUUCGAGACCAGGACGUUGAUAGGUCGGGUGUGGAAGCGCAGUAAUGCGUUAAGCUAACCGAUACUAAUUGCUCGUGAGGCUUGACCUU